GUAACCCACGCGCCACUGCCUCCGACAUUAAACUUCCGUGCG
Molecule: small RNA, 42 nt
Filed under: Arabidopsis thaliana (thale cress)
Lineage: Eukaryota; Viridiplantae; Streptophyta; Magnoliopsida; Brassicales; Brassicaceae
Description: ATSL230320
Source: RNAcentral